Molecule: ribosomal RNA, 396 nt
Filed under: uncultured bacterium
Lineage: Bacteria
Description: bacterial SSU rRNA
Rfam family: Bacterial small subunit ribosomal RNA
Source: RNAcentral
AAUAUUGGACAAUGGGCGCAAGCCUGAUCCAGCCAUGCCGCGUGAGUGAUGACGGCCUUAGGGUUGUAAAGCUCUUUCGCACGCGACGAUAAUGACGGUAGCGUGAGAAGAAGCCCCGGCUAACUUCGUGCCAGCAGCCGCGGUAAUACGAAGGGGGCUAGCGUUGUUCGGAAUCACUGGGCGUAAAGCGCACGUAGGCGGAUUGUUAAGUCGGGGGUGAAAUCCUGAGGCUCAACCUCAGAACUGCCUUCGAUACUGGCGAUCUUGAGUCCGGAAGAGGUUGGUGGAACAGCUAGUGUAGAGGUGAAAUUCGUAGAUAUUAGCUAGAACACCAGUGGCGAAGGCGGCCAACUGGUCCGGAACUGACGCUGAGGUGCGAAAGCGUGGGGAGCAAAC